This 55-nucleotide transfer RNA is filed under the name Phoneutria boliviensis. RNAcentral's name for it is "tRNA-Pro". Lineage: Eukaryota; Metazoa; Arthropoda; Arachnida; Araneae; Ctenidae. The record is from RNAcentral.
GUUCUUAAUAAUUUACAUAAAAUAUCUACUUUGGAUGUAGAAAAUUCUAAAAUCA